This 393-nucleotide ribosomal RNA is filed under the name uncultured bacterium. RNAcentral's name for it is "partial 16S ribosomal RNA". It matches the Rfam family "Bacterial small subunit ribosomal RNA", at positions 523 to 918 of the family's 1533-position model. The record is from RNAcentral.
AUACGGAGGAUGCAAGCGUUAUCCGGAUUUAUUGGGUUUAAAGGGUGCGUAGGCGGACCGUUAAGUCAGCGGUGAAAGGUCCCGGCUCAACCGGGGAGCUGCCGUUGAUACUGGCGGACUUGAGUCCAAACGGCGCCGGCGGAAUAUGUAAUGUAGCGGUGAAAUGCAUAGAUAUUACAUAGAACACCGAUCGCGAAGGCAGCUGGCGAGGAUGGCACUGACGCUGAGGCACGAAGGCGUGGGGAUCGAACAGGAUUAGAUACCCUGGUAGUCCACGCAGUAAACGAUGGCGACUUGUUGUCGGCGACAGACGGCCGGUGACAAAGCGAAAGCGAUAAGUCGCCCACCUGGGGAGUACGAUCGCAAGGUUGAAACUCAAAUGAAUUGACGGGG